This 440-nucleotide long non-coding RNA is filed under the name Physcomitrium patens. Its description in RNAcentral is "long non-coding RNA (PPAT_LNC003376)". Lineage: Eukaryota; Viridiplantae; Streptophyta; Bryopsida; Funariales; Funariaceae. The record is from RNAcentral.
AAGAAGUUAUAGAGGGUUGAAGUGAGCACAUCCAAAUCAAAGGCAGUAAGUAAGUGAUUUUGUUCAUAGUAAUGGUUGGAGCCAUAUCUUGAGUUUCUAGAUGAAUUUUGGGCUCAAACCUUUUAAAAAAGAUAGAUUGUUAUAUGAAAAAGAUAUAUAUAAAAAUUUUGUGGCAUUUGAGUGCUCAAUUUGUGAGAUAUGAAGAAAAUUGCAUGCAAGUAUAUAAAAACUAGGGUUUGAAGCUACUGUUAGGGUCUUGGUGAUAUAUUAAGAUCUGCGACGAAUUUUUGGUUGAAAUUUUUUGUGGUAGUUUUUAGAAGUACAUCAGUAUUUCAUAUAAAAUUUGAGUAUGUUUGAAUAUUCCGAUAGAAAGUUAUGAAUUUUUGAAGUUUGGAAAUAAUACCCCAUAAGGAUAAACAAGGAUUUAGAAUUUUUUUAAU